RNAcentral lists this ribosomal RNA (1325 nucleotides) under Leuconostoc mesenteroides. RNAcentral's name for it is "bacterial SSU rRNA". It matches the Rfam family "Bacterial small subunit ribosomal RNA", at positions 128 to 1441 of the family's 1533-position model. Lineage: Bacteria; Bacillati; Bacillota; Bacilli; Lactobacillales; Lactobacillaceae. The record is from RNAcentral.
GCCUCAAGGCUGGGGAUAACAUUUGGAAACAGAUGCUAAUACCGAAUAAAACUUAGUGUCGCAUGACACAAAGUUAAAAGGCGCUUCGGCGUCACCUAGAGAUGGAUCCGCGGUGCAUUAGUUAGUUGGUGGGGUAAAGGCCUACCAAGACAAUGAUGCAUAGCCGAGUUGAGAGACUGAUCGGCCACAUUGGGACUGAGACACGGCCCAAACUCCUACGGGAGGCUGCAGUAGGGAAUCUUCCACAAUGGGCGAAAGCCUGAUGGAGCAACGCCGCGUGUGUGAUGAAGGCUUUCGGGUCGUAAAGCACUGUUGUAUGGGAAGAACAGCUAGAAUAGGAAAUGAUUUUAGUUUGACGGUACCAUACCAGAAAGGGACGGCUAAAUACGUGCCAGCAGCCGCGGUAAUACGUAUGUCCCGAGCGUUAUCCGGAUUUAUUGGGCGUAAAGCGAGCGCAGACGGUUUAUUAAGUCUGAUGUGAAAGCCCGGAGCUCAACUCCGGAAUGGCAUUGGAAACUGGUUGACUUGAGUGCAGUAGAGGUAAGUGGAACUCCAUGUGUAGCGGUGGAAUGCGUAGAUAUAUGGAAGAACACCAGUGGCGAAGGCGGCUUACUGGACUGCAACUGACGUUGAGGCUCGAAAGUGUGGGUAGCAAACAGGAUUAGAUACCCUGGUAGUCCACACCGUAAACGAUGAACACUAGGUGUUAGGAGGUUUCCGCCUCUUAGUGCCGAAGCUAACGCAUUAAGUGUUCCGCCUGGGGAGUACGACCGCAAGGUUGAAACUCAAAGGAAUUGACGGGGACCCGCACAAGCGGUGGAGCAUGUGGUUUAAUUCGAAGCAACGCGAAGAACCUUACCAGGUCUUGACAUCCUUUGAAGCUUUUAGAGAUAAAAGUGUUCUCUUCGGAGACAAAGUGACAGGUGGUGCAUGGUCGUCGUCAGCUCGUGUCGUGAGAUGUUGGGUUAAGUCCCGCAACGAGCGCAACCCUUAUUGUUAGUUGCCAGCAUUCAGAUGGGCACUCUAGCGAGACUGCCGGUGACAAACCGGAGGAAGGCGGGGACGACGUCAGAUCAUCAUGCCCCUUAUGACCUGGGCUACACACGUGCUACAAUGGCGUAUACAACGAGUUGCCAACCCGCGAGGGUGAGCUAAUCUCUUAAAGUACGUCUCAGUUCGGAUUGUAGUCUGCAACUCGACUACAUGAAGUCGGAAUCGCUAGUAAUCGCGGAUCAGCACGCCGCGGUGAAUACGUUCCCGGGUCUUGUACACACCGCCCGUCACACCAUGGGAGUUUGUAAUGCCCAAAGCCGGUGGCCUAACCU